RNAcentral lists this microRNA precursor (129 nucleotides) under Aedes aegypti (yellow fever mosquito). Its description in RNAcentral is "microRNA aae-mir-306 precursor". Its record names the gene aae-mir-306. The record is from miRBase by way of RNAcentral. Lineage: Eukaryota; Metazoa; Arthropoda; Insecta; Diptera; Culicidae.
CAUUCGCAAUUUCACCGGUUCAGGUACUGAGUGACUCUCAGAUGUGCAUUUCUCAAGCAAUCUCGUCCUCAGGACCUGAGGUUGAAAAACCCUGAGAGCACCUCGGUAUCUAAGCCAGUGUUGCGAAAA